CUGGAAGCUAUUGUCAAAUGAUUGUCAAAACAAACUGCAAGGAACCAUCCAAAACAGAGAUUGAUUUUGGUGUGUUUUUUUUAUAAUUACCUGAAUCCUGUGUUUUAAUUGUUCAUUAUAUCUAAGGAUGGCGCCUUUAAGAAAAGUCUCAGAUCGACAAAUGGACAUUUUGUUGGAGUUCGUUGAAAGACAUAAAGAGCUUGCUGUUGGCCGGUACCCUCCCGGCCCACUAGGCAUACAAUCAGCACGUUGGCUAUGGGACAGUGCAGCAUUACAAAUACCUAUAUGAAUUAUAUUCAAUUGGGUCUGGAGUACUGAAAAGAGAAAAACUGGUAAAAAAUUCUGACGGGCAUUCACAUGUAAAGUGACAAUGUGCAAUCAUAACAUAAAGGUUAAAGUAGAAAAAUUAUUUUAAUAAUGAUUAUAGUAAGACUGGUAGAAGCAAAAUGUGAUAGGAAGUUAUGUGAUUUAAAAUCAAAAAUAAAAGCCAUUAAUAUAAAUUGAGUUUUUUAUUACAAAAUUAUACAUAUACAGCAAAAAUCAGCCUAUCAGUCAGGUUAUUUUAGUUCCUUGACACUUGAAUUCACAGCCUUUGGACAAGGUUGGCCCUCAUGCGCCCUGCAUCUGCAUCAGCAGCACCAUAAGCCACGUUACCAAUAUGCUGCACCCGAAUGUUACCAGCAGCAGGCAAGUUGUCGUCACUGGUAUAUUGUGUGCAUUUGCUAUAUUGUGUAGUACACA
Molecule: non-coding RNA, 741 nt
Organism: Plutella xylostella (diamondback moth)
Lineage: Eukaryota; Metazoa; Arthropoda; Insecta; Lepidoptera; Plutellidae
Source: RefSeq, a predicted model, not a curated record